GGGGCAGAAGGCUCUAGACCGACUGACUCUCAGCCUUAAUUCUUCUAAAUCAACUUUAAUCUGCCCCAAAUCCCCUCACAGCGCCACCAGGACUGUGCCAAGGCCAUGGGGGUCUUACACAGCAUGGAGACUUUGGGAGCUCCUCCUGUCAUCGGUUACUGGUCUUCCUGUUUACCAUUUGGACACCCACCCACUGAAGGAAUCUGAGAAGACACGGACCCUGCGGGUCAGUGGCUCUGAGCUUUCAGAGUAACAUUCCUGGUGCAGGAAUGUCUGGCAAGACUGGAAGCCCUGGGGUCUCAGGUCCAGGGGGCCCAGGGGCACCUGGCCUGACCUUUUGUUCACAGGCUUCCCUGAGAGCUCCCUCCAACCUGGGAGGGAAAAAGAAAUCUCUCUUCUAGACUGGGAGAAAAAAAAAAGGCUCUCUUCCACGCUCCUCUCAAAGGCACCCCCUGCAGGCCAUGAACACGGUCUCUCUGGGAGCUUGGGCUUUUAUUAAAGACACAGCAAGCCUGCCUUGCAGAAAUCCCUCAGGCAAGGCCUUGCCAAGGGCUGGCGACCUCCUGGUAAUGUGAGAAGACACUGGGAGAACACAUACUCCUUUCUCAAUUAACUAUCCUUCCAUGUCUCCGAGGAAAUCUGACUCCUGGACCAAGCUUGCCUUCUAAACAGGGUGAGAGCCUAGAGGCCAAGGGACAGGGCUGCGAGGGGAAAGACUCGGCCCAGCCAGUGAGUCGGGGGCAGGCUGGGAGGAGCAUGGUGGUGAGCCCAGCAGGGAAAGAAGGCCUCUGGUCCUGAAGGGCCAGAAGAAGUCACCGUCGGCCACCCUCACAGCCCAGGGUUGGGGCUUCUGGAGUGACUGAUAUCAACCUACAUAUGAGUCUGGCCCUGAUGCCAAGGGCUGAGAUUCAACAAGGCAACCGGGGCCAGAUGCAGCGGUGCUGGACCCUGUAGGAGCGAGCGGUAACUCUCACGACAAAUCCACCACAGCAGGUACUGUGGUCCUGCUUUACAGAGUUUUCCAGACCAGGACAUCAGGCUGGAGAGGGCCCCCGGCUUGGCCCCAGGCCUCACUGAACCCAGGACUGUCUACCAUGUUCCAUUGCACCAAGCAGAGAAGAGUGAGUGGGCUGGCUGGAGCCAGGUCUUGUUUUUCUGGAACCCAACCCAAGAGACCUUUGUGUGAGAACUGGUAAGCGUGCCCUGCCCUCUCCCAGGGCCCUGAUGGGGCGGGAGUGCCAGGCAGGAAAGGCAGG
This 1256-nucleotide long non-coding RNA is filed under the name Aotus nancymaae (Ma's night monkey). RNAcentral describes it as "lncRNA (ENSANAG00000039225.1)". The record is from RNAcentral. Lineage: Eukaryota; Metazoa; Chordata; Mammalia; Primates; Aotidae.